RNAcentral lists this unclassified non-coding RNA (327 nucleotides) under soil metagenome. Its description in RNAcentral is "partial contains 5.8S ribosomal RNA, internal transcribed spacer 2, and large subunit ribosomal RNA". The stretch from base 1 to 120 matches the Rfam family "5.8S ribosomal RNA", at positions 35 to 154 of the family's 154-position model. The record is from RNAcentral.
GAUGAAGAACGCAGCGAAAUGCGAUAAGUAAUGUGAAUUGCAGAAUUCAGUGAAUCAUCGAAUCUUUGAACGCACAUUGCGCCCCUUGGUAUUCCGAGGGGCAUGCCUGUUCGAGCGUCAUUAUAACCCCUCAAGCUCAGCUUGGUGUUGGGGCCUGCCGCACGGGCAGCCCUUAAAUCAGUGGCGGUGCCAUCUGGCUCUAAGCGUAGUAAUUCUUCUCGCUAUAGAGUCCCGGUGGAUGCUUGCCAUUAACCCCCAAUUUUCUAUGGUUGACCUCGGAUCAGGUAGGGAUACCCGCUGAACUUAAGCAUAUCAAUAAGCGGAGGA